AGAGUUUGAUCCUGGCUCAGAACGUACGCUGGCGGCACGCCUAACACAUGCAAGUCGAACGAAGUAGCAAUACUUAGUGGCAGACGGGUGAGUAACAUGUAGGUAUCUGCCCUUUGGCCUGGAAUAACACGAGGAAACUUGUGCUAAUACCGGAUAAGUCUUUACGGAGAAAGCUUUAUGCACCAUUGGAUGAGCCUGCACUUGAUUAGUUUGUUGGUGGGGUAAUGGCCUACCAAGACUGUGAUCAAUAGCUGAUUUGAGAGGAUGAUCAGCCACAUUGGGACUGAGACACGGCCCAAACUCCUACGGGAGGCAGCAGUGGGGAAUCUUGCACAAUGGAGGAAACUCUGAUGCAGCGAUGCCGCGUGAGUGAAGAAGGCCCUUGGGUUGUAAAGCUCUUUCGUCGGGGAAGAAAAUGACUGUACCCGAAUAAGAAGGUCCGGCUAACUUCGUGCCAGCAGCCGCGGUAAUACGAAGGGACCUAGCGUAGUUCGGAAUUACUGGGCUUAAAGAGUUCGUAGGUGGUUGAAAUAGUUAGUGGUGAAAUCCCAGAGCUUAACUCUGGAACUGCCAUUAAAACUUUUCAGCUAGAGUAUGAUAGAGGAAAGCAGAAUUUCUAGUGUAGAGGUGAAAUUCGUAGAUAUUAGAAAGAAUACCAAUUGCGAAGGCAGCUUUCUGGAUCAUUACUGACACUGAGGAACGAAAGCAUGGGUAGCGAAGAGGAUUAGAUACCCUCGUAGUCCAUGCCGUAAACGAUGUGUGUUAGACGUUGGAAAUUUAUUUUCAGUGUCGCAGGGAAACCGAUAAACACACCGCCUGGGGAGUACGACCGCAAGGUUAAAACUCAAAUGAAUUGACGGGGACCCGCACAAGUAGUGGAGCAUGUGGUUUAAUUCGAAGAUACGCGCAGAACCUUACCAACACUUGACAUGUUCGUCGCGACUCUAAGAGAUUAGAGUUUUCGGUUCGGCCGGACGAAACACAGGUGCUGCAUGGCUGUCGUCAGCUCGUGUCGUGAGAUGUUGGGUUAAGUCCCGCAACGAGCGCAACCCUCACUUUUAGUUGCCAUCAUUAAGUUGGGCACUCUGAAAGAACUGCCAGUGAUAAGCUGGAGGAAGGUGGGGAUGACGUCAAGUCCUCAUGGCCCUUACGUGUUGGGCUACACACGUGCUACAAUGGUAUCUACAACAGGAAGCAAGACUGCGAAGUUAAGCAAAUCCCUAAAAGAUACCUCAGUUCGGAUUGCACUCUGCAACUCGAGUGCAUGAAGCUGGAAUUACUAGUAAUCGUGGAUCAGCGUGCCACGGUGAAUGCGUUCCCGGGUCUUGUACACACCGCCCGUCACACCAUGGGAGUUGGUUCUACCUUAAGGCAAGGUUUCAAACCCUUGACCACGGUAUAGUCAGCGACUGGGGUGAAGUCGUAACAAGGUAACC
RNAcentral lists this ribosomal RNA (1436 nucleotides) under uncultured Pelagibacterales bacterium. RNAcentral describes it as "bacterial SSU rRNA". It matches the Rfam family "Bacterial small subunit ribosomal RNA". Lineage: Bacteria; Pseudomonadati; Pseudomonadota; Alphaproteobacteria; Candidatus Pelagibacterales. The record is from RNAcentral.